Molecule: ribosomal RNA, 903 nt
Filed under: Dasytinae gen. sp. COL0439
Lineage: Eukaryota; Metazoa; Arthropoda; Insecta; Coleoptera; Melyridae
Description: SSU rRNA
Rfam family: Eukaryotic small subunit ribosomal RNA
Source: RNAcentral
AUGUCUCAGUACAAGCCAAACUAAGGUGAAACCGCGAAAGGCUCAUUANNUCAGUUAUGGUUCCUUAGAUCGUACCCAAAUUUACUUGGAUAACUGUGGUAAUUCUAGAGCUAAUACAUGCAAACAGAGCUCCGCCCGGAGACGGAAGGAGUGCUUUUAUUAGAUCAAAACCAAUCGGUGGCGGGCUCGCCCGUCAUCGCACAACUUGGUGACUCUGAAUAACUUUACGCUGAUCGCACGGUCUCGCACCGGCGACGCAUCUUUCAAAUGUCUGCCUUAUCAACUGUCGAUGGUAGGUUCUGCGCCUACCAUGGUUGUAACGGGUAACGGGGAAUCAGGGUUCGAUUCCGGAGAGGGAGCCUGAGAAACGGCUACCACAUCCAAGGAAGGCAGCAGGCGCGCAAAUUACCCACUCCCGGCACGGGGAGGUAGUGACGAAAAAUAACGAUACGGGACUCAUCCGAGGCCCCGUAAUCGGAAUGAGUACACUCUAAACCCUUUAACGAGGAUCAAUUGGAGGGCAAGUCUGGUGCCAGCAGCCGCGGUAAUUCCAGCUCCAAUAGCGUAUAUUAAAGUUGUUGCGGUUAAAAAGCUCGUAGUCGAAUCUGUGUCUCGCGCCGCCGGUUCAUCGUCCGCGGUGUCAACUGGCGUGUCGCGAGACGUAUUGCCGGUGGGCUUAGCCCGCAAGGGCGGCCCAAACAAUCCCGCCGCGGUGCUCUUCACUGAGUGUCGAGGUAGGCCGGCACGUUUACUUUGAACAAACUAGAGUGCUUAAAGCAGGCUAGAACUUUGCCUGAAUAUGUGUGCAUGGAANAAUGGAAUAGGACCUCGGUUCUAUUUUGUUGGUUUUCGGAACCCCGAGGUAAUGAUUAAUAGGAACGGAUGGGGGCAUUCGUAUUGCGA